Molecule: ribosomal RNA, 253 nt
Filed under: uncultured bacterium
Lineage: Bacteria
Description: partial 16S ribosomal RNA
Rfam family: Bacterial small subunit ribosomal RNA
Source: RNAcentral
CACGUAGGGCGCAAGCGUUGUCCGGAAUUAUUGGGCGUAAAGAGCUCGUAGGCGGUCUGUUGCGUCCGCUGUGAAAACUCGGGGCUUAACCCCGAGCCUGCAGUGGAUACGGGCAGACUAGAGGUAGGUAGGGGAGAAUGGAAUUCCCGGUGUAGCGGUGAAAUGCGCAGAUAUCAGGAGGAACACCGGUGGCGAAGGCGGAUCUCUGGGCCAUUACUGACGCUGAGGAGCGAAGGCGUGGGGAGCGAACAGG